This is a long non-coding RNA of Wyeomyia smithii (pitcher-plant mosquito), 834 nucleotides long. RefSeq lists it as uncharacterized. The transcript is spliced from 2 exons. The record is from RefSeq and is a predicted model, not a curated record. Lineage: Eukaryota; Metazoa; Arthropoda; Insecta; Diptera; Culicidae.
UGUAAGUUUACGAAAUUGAUUGUUCUGAUUUUCCCCGACUUUCGCUGAAGUAUAAAAUUCAUUUCUCUUAUAUUUAUCAGCCGCAAUGAUUUUUUAAAAAUUUUGUUUCGGUUUAUGCUACUCUGCACUGAUUUUCGUCAUUGUGUCAUGCCACAUCCUGGUAUAAAAAAAAAACAGAAAAUCGAUCAAUCGAUGACAUAUUUUACAGUAGUAGAGAGAUUGCGCAAAAUAAGCUUACACAGCUUUCUAGUUAUUUGUCAGAUAAAAUAAUUACCUACCGUCGUAAAGGUUGACUGAGGUCUGUUAAAAAAAUAAAUACGUUUUGCUUUGCCAUUGAGCUCAAACUGGAAAAAUGAAAGAUUAUAAAUUUUCAACCAUUACUGUGAAUUUUGGUGCCCCUAGCGAAGAUAACUUUUUUUAGAAACUUAAAUGAGUUUUUCCGUAAGCAAACGUAGAAGUGACAAAUCCAGCGAGUAAUCAAUUUGCAGCAUUUUGACUUACUUCUGCAUUCACUAGGGGCAUCAAACUUUGCAGGAAUGGCUGAGAACCUAUAUUCUUUUCCGUUUGUCGACCAGUGUAAAAAGAAUCACGGUUAGAUAUUCCACAAGACGCUAGCGAUUUGGAAUAGCGACCGUCUCAAUCGGAACUACAUUAAGUACGAAAUAUAUACAAUACGGAAGUUUAUCUAAAGUACUUUCGAGUAUAUUUCCAACAUUAUGGUGCGAUAAUAAACGAAAGUCACAUCUUCUUGCUUAACUUGUUAAAAUUCAUCAAGAUAUAGGAUAAGUUUCUUUUUGUUCCUAAUAUUAAAAAAUAAAACGGCAUUUUUUGUAA